CUGGUUGAUCCUGCCAGACCCGAAUGCUAUUCGAUUGGUACUAAGCCAUGCAAGUGGAAGGGUCGUGUACGGCGACCCUCGCAUACGGCUCAGUAACACGUGGUGAAACUGCCCUGUGGACCGGGAUAAACGCGGGAAACUGCGGCUAAUACCGGAUACCUGGAGAUGCCUGGAAUGGUUCUCCACCGAAACGGACCUUGACCAUCAAGGCACCGCCACAGGAUGUCACCGCGGCCGAUUACGCUUGAUGGUGGGGUAGAGGCCCACCAUGGCAUUGAUCGGUACCGGCAGUGUGAGCUGGAGCCGGGAGACGAGUACUGAGACAAGGACUCGAGCCUUACGAGGUGCAGCAGGCGAGAAAACUCUACAAUGCGCGCAAGCGCGAUAGGGCUAAUCGAAGUGCCAUCCUUAAAAUGGUUGGCUGUGGUGCGGUAUACAAAGCCGCGCAAGAAAGGAGAGGGCAAGGCUGGUGCCAGCCGCCGCGGUAAAACCAGCUCUUCAAGUGUUCGGGAUUCUUAUUGAGCUUAAAGCGUCCGUAGCCGGUCACGCAAGUCCCCGGUUAAACCCAGGAGCUCAACUUCUGGAUUGCUGGGGAUACUACGCGACUUGGAGGCGGGAGAGGUAUCCGGUACGUGUGGGGUAGCGGUGAAAUGCGAUAAUCCCAUCCGGACCACCGGUGGCGAAGGCGGGAUACUAGAACGCGCUCGACGGUGAUGGACGAAAGCCUGGGGAGCGAACGGGAUUAGAUACCCCGGUAGUCCAGGCUGUAAACGAUGCCCGCUAGGUGUAGCAUUUGCCACGAGCAAAUGCGGUGCCGAAGCGAAAGCGUUAAGCGGGCCGCUUGGGGAGUACGUUCGCAAGAAUGAAACUUAAAGGAAUUGACGGGGGAAUACCACAAGGGGUGAAGCCUGCGGUUUAAUUGGACCCAACGCCGGGAAACUUACCAGGGGCGAUAGACGAAUGAGGGUCAGGCUGACGACCUUACCCGACGGUCUAAGAGGUAGUGCAUGGCCAUCGCCAGUUCGUGCCGUGAGGUGUCUUGUUAAGUCAAGCAACGAACGAAACCCGCGCCGCUAAUUGCUACCGAUAGCGUUAUGACGCUCCGGGCACAUUAGCGGGACCGCCGCCGCUAAGGCGGAUGAAGGUGCGGGCCACGGUAGGUCAGUAUGCUCCGAAUCCACCUGGGCCACACGCGGGCUGCAAAGGUAGGGACAAUGCGUUGCUACUCCGAGAGGAGGCGCUAAUCGUGAAACCCUAUCUCAGUCGGAAUUGUGGGCUGCAACUCGCCCUCAUGAACUUGGAAUCCCUAGUAGUCGCGUGUCAUCAUCGCGCGGCGAAUGUGUCUCUAUUCCUUGCACACACCGCCCGUCGCUUCACGCGAGUGAUCUUGGGGAAAGGCUCUCUCCUUUUCGGGGGGGCGGGUCUAUCCUUGGGGUCGUGAGUGGGAAGAAGUCGUAACAAGGUA
RNAcentral lists this ribosomal RNA (1465 nucleotides) under metagenome. RNAcentral describes it as "bacterial SSU rRNA". It matches the Rfam family "Archaeal small subunit ribosomal RNA". The record is from RNAcentral.